GUUGCCGUUCCCUGAAUCCCGUGUCGCCGUCGAGCCCAGAUGAGAGAGGAGAGACUGAGCCUGAACCCCGACGAGCUGGGAAGAACCAGCGCCGCCGCUAUGCUGUCGUCGUGGACACCAUCGCCGCCAUUCGUGCCUCUGAUUCGCGCCGGUGUGACUUCUGUUGCCGUUAGGCUAUCCGCUGACGUCACCGCCGCCAUAACCACUGUUGCUGGUGACCGCCAGGGGAACCCUGAUUGUCUUGGGUCGAGCUCCGAGGUUUGCAUGUCGAAUUUUUAGGUUGCCGUUGAACCACUGGAGUUUCUAGCCGUUGUCGAAGCUUCCGCCGAGUCAGUUCGGGAUUGCGGCUGCUCAAUUCUGCUGUCACCGAAUUAGAAAUCGAGUUUGCAUGUCACGAUUGAGGCUGUUUUGCUAUUGAGAAAGUAAGCGGAGCUGAGGUUUUGGUUGCUGUUGAUUAUGGGCUGAGAGAAAAGAGUUCAGUUGACACGUUUGGAUUAUGGUUUCACUUACC
This is a non-coding RNA of Arachis ipaensis, 511 nucleotides long. The record is from RefSeq and is a predicted model, not a curated record. Lineage: Eukaryota; Viridiplantae; Streptophyta; Magnoliopsida; Fabales; Fabaceae.